GUCCACGCCGUAAACGAUGUGCACUAGGCGUGGGGCACGUACGUGCUCUGUGCCGUAGCUAACGUGAUAAGUGCACCGCCUGGGGAGUAUGCUCGCAAGGGUGAAACUCAAAGGAAUUGACGGGGGCCCGCACAAGCGGUGGAGCAUGUGGUUUAAUUCGAUGGUACACGAGGAACCUUACCAGGGCUUGACAUGUGCGUGAAUGUUCACGAGAGUGGGCAGCCCCGCAAGGGGCGCGUACACAGGUGCUGCAUGGCUGUCGU
Molecule: ribosomal RNA, 263 nt
Filed under: uncultured bacterium
Lineage: Bacteria
Description: partial 16S ribosomal RNA
Rfam family: Bacterial small subunit ribosomal RNA
Source: RNAcentral